GACUCUCGACAACGGAUAUCUCGGCUCUCGCAUCGAUGAAGAACGUAGUGAAAUGCGAUACUUGGUGUGAAUUGCAAAAUCCCGUGAACCAUCGAGUCUUUGAACGCAAGUUGCGCCCGAAGCCGUCAGGCCGAAGGCACGUCUGCCUGGGCGUC
This 155-nucleotide ribosomal RNA is filed under the name Cornus amomum (silky dogwood). Its description in RNAcentral is "5.8S ribosomal RNA". It matches the Rfam family "5.8S ribosomal RNA". Rfam says of the family: 5.8S ribosomal RNA (5.8S rRNA) is a component of the large subunit of the eukaryotic ribosome. It is transcribed by RNA polymerase I as part of the 45S precursor that also contains 18S and 28S rRNA. Lineage: Eukaryota; Viridiplantae; Streptophyta; Magnoliopsida; Cornales; Cornaceae. The record is from RNAcentral.